This 501-nucleotide ribosomal RNA is filed under the name Dendrobaena orientalis. RNAcentral's name for it is "partial large subunit ribosomal RNA". It matches the Rfam family "Bacterial large subunit ribosomal RNA", at positions 1809 to 2606 of the family's 2925-position model. Lineage: Eukaryota; Metazoa; Annelida; Clitellata; Crassiclitellata; Lumbricidae. The record is from RNAcentral.
AAAAACAUUGCCCCUCGAUCAUCCGUGAGGGGUACCUCCUGCCCGGUGACACAUAUAGUUCAACGGCCGCGGUAUCCUAACCGUGCAAAGGUAGCAUAAUCACUUGCUCAUUAAUUGUGGGCUAGAAUGAAAGGAUAAACGAAAUACUAACUGUCUCUGCAAGCACAAUAAAAACUAUUCUCUAAUUGAAGAAAAUUAGAUACCGUUGAAGGACAAGAAGACCCUAUAGAGCUUCAUUUUACCAGAAAUAUAAGUUCUCCUAAAAUUCGGUUGGGGCGACCUGGGAAUUACUAAACAUCCCUUUCUACAUAGAUUUAUCAAUCUAACCUCUGACCCUUAUAAGAUCCUAAAAACAAGCUACCUUAGGGAUAACAGGCUAAUCCUACUAGAGAGUCCUUAUCUAUAGUAGGGAUUGGCACCUCGAUGUUGGCUUAGGGAAUCUAUACGACGCAAAAGUCAUAUAAAGAUGGCUUGUUCAGCCAAUAACACCCUACAUGAUCU